UUUCUUUUAUCAGUGCUGCUUGUAUGGCUUCAGUGGAAGGUGAUUCACUUAUUCCUGUUGUGAACUGAUGUAUGAGAGUGGGUUGGUGUCAAUGGAAGGUCUACACUACUGAGGAACUAAACCAAUACUCUAAACUGACCUGAACACGUGUUACAUAGACUGUCUUCUAAAUCAUGACAUUUAUAAAGGAGAAGGCUCCCAGGUAAGAUUAUAGACAUGGUUCAACAUGCUAGCUUGAGAAAUGGGUAUGUUUAAAAAGUGACAAUACAUGUGUGACCUAAGGAAACCUCUUGGCAUAGAACAUCAUUCCAGUUUGUAAUCCUGUAAACACAAGCCUAUGUACCUUACAAAAGCAUUGCUUAUAUAUUGGUGCAGUUCCCCAAGUGUUUACUGUAUCAUUACCUUUGAAUGCCAUUAAUUUUUCCAGCCAGAGUUCCAUCUGGGAUGCUAAGCCAAUUUUCAUAAAAAUCCAAGGUUAGUAAGCUUCCAUCGAUGUUAAUAAUAAAAUCCUUUUUUAUUGAAAAUAAAACAAAAAUAGUAAUGGUCAAUGUACAUUGUAGAAAGUACUUGAAAAACAUUUUUGUUUAAAAUUAGCAGUUUAGACCAGUGAUUCUCAACUUGUGGGUCAUAAUCAAUACGGGGUCACAUAUAUUUUUCGUAUCAGAUAUUCCAUCCAUUUUUCUUUAUAAUCAAAUCAGGAGCAAAAUUUGAAUUAUGAAGAGAAGCAAAAUGAAGUAAUGGUUAAGAGUCACAAAGCCAUGAGAAAAUAUAUUAGUGUUACAGGAUUAGGGAGGCUGAGAAUCAUUAGUUGAGAUCAUGCAGGAUCUUAUUUUUCUUCUUCCCUAAGACUAGAAUCAAUGAAGCAGAGUCCUAGUUGCUAUAGCAAUGAAGUAAACCUACCAUCUGUUCAAAUUGCCUCUCCUGGCUUCUAGACUACAACACUCCUUGCAAUCAUAGAUCUCCACUCCACUUCCCAGCUUAUGUAGUCCUGGCUGACCCAAACUCACAGAGAUCCUCCUCCUUCAUCUUCCCAGUGUCGGGAUUACACACAUGUGCCACCAUGACUAGAAUGUCUCUCCUUGAAAUCUGGAUAUGUUUUACAUGUUAAUGUUGGUGUUGUACAUACAGUAUACUUAAAGACUGCAAUUUGGAGAUUUUCUUGUUUAUGAAGCUUUCUCUGGAGCCUUUCCCUAUUUUUAACAUGCCUGCCUGUUCACACGGAUUUGUAGAUGUCCUACCACAUGAGUUCCUUCCCCAUUACUAAAUCACAUGCCUGAGAAUCAACUUAAUGAAGUGGUGUAUGUUGGCCAAAAAUUGGAGGCCACAGUCCACCAUGGCAGGUUGAGCAGCUGUCUAUAUUUUAUCCUCUCUGAGAGUGCAGAAAGCAAUGAAUACUUAUGCUCCACCCCCUUUCUCUUUAUAUACAGUCAAGGCCUAUUGAUUGAUCAGUGCUGUUCACUGUUAAGAUUUAUUGUCCAACUAGCCUGACCCCAGUAAUCUCUCAGGGUAUCCAGAAGGUUAUGUAAUCAAGGUAUGGUACAUUUCUUCAGGCUCUUCUUUUUUUGUUUUUCUUUGUGGGUUUUUUUUUUUUUUUUUUUUUUGAGACAGUGUCUCACUCUGGGCUGAAGUUGGUCUUCACCUUGACUUAUUCUGUGCCUCCAGGUUGUUAGAAUUACAGGGCCUAACCACCACAUUUGCCUGGAAAUCUCCACAGACCUAAAUCUAUUUGUUUCUUGGUGAUCAAAAAGAGAAUGUAACAAUGGUCAAGCUAGGCCCAAUGUCUUUGCUCCCUUCCUACUGCCUGCUGAUUGGAAUGUAGAAGUCUCAGCUAUCUCUCUAGUACCAUGGCUUCCUGUGUUCCCACCCACCCCAUGACAAUAAUAGACUAGACCCCUAAAUAUGUUAAGCCAGUCCCAAUUAAAACUUUUCCUCUGUAAGAGUUGUCAUGGUCACGGUGUCUCUUCAUAGCAAUAGAACAUUGACUACGACACUGGUACUAUGUCUGAUCUUAAACAACUGUAAACUCAACCAGGCAUGAUAUUAGUAGAACAUCCAGGUGAGAUGAUGUUGGGGCUACAAGCUCACAGAGAACCCCAACCAACAGAUACCUGUAAGGUCUCAUGGGCAGGUCUCUGUUUUCUUUAGUGUCCUCUUUCCGUCUAUCUUACUGAUUUUUAUUCUCCCCAUGAACAGUGUAAAAAUACAUUGCCUUUACUUCUAAGUCAUCCUUAGCGUUCUCUUUAAGUCCUGAGUUUAUGGGACAAGGUUUCUUACUAGAAUCUUCACCUUUCGUGUAUUUCUAAUCUCUGGACACUUGGGCCCUGAAGAACAAAAUAAGAACCAGGUUCUCAGAGACUCAAAGAGAAGAAAUGAAGUCCAUGAACUCAGUGAAAAUUUUUACCAACCCAAAGUCAAACUGAUUCAAAUCAACGCUGGCCCACUAAAUUAUCAGAGCAUCUUCAAGAGAGAAAGCUCCCAGGACUGGGGACAAAAGUUGAAACUUGAACUUUUAAUCUCAUUUCAGAUGAAAGUGAUGUGGUCUGGGAGUCAGAGGCAGGAGGGUCUCUAGGUUGUGUUAAGUCUGAGCUGUGCAUUGAGAGCCUUUCUCAAAAGAACAGCCAUAAGGAAGUGACAUGGAAACAAGCUGUCAUCUCAGGGGAUGUGACUUUACAUGAUUUGGUAACUUAAUCCUAGGAAAAGAAACUCAGAUAUGGGGUGACAGUCUAAUGGCAGAACCUUGUCUAGCACAGACAAAUAGAAGGACAGGAAGGAGGGAGGAAGAAGGGCCAAAGAUGAGCGAUGCUACAGGCAUUCAAAUGUUAAGAAUGCUAUCCCUAAGAACUGGAGGAAAGCUAGCUUUCCCACACUGUAGCAGUGCUUACAGUUUACUGCAGUUCAGAAACUGGAGAUGAUUGUCCCUGUGUUGCUGUACAGAAAGGACUGGAACAGUAGCAAAGACAGUGGCUGUGCCCAUUUCAUGGGUGCUUUAGAGCAAGACACCUUCUGGAGAGGUUUCCAAAUAAAAAUGUCCAAGUGGUACUUCUGAGCUUAAAAUUUCAUAGCUUAGGUAAAAAUCAGAUUUUUCUUAUUUCCAAAUGAAGUUUUGAAGGUUUUCAAGUUGUUCCUCUAGAGGGUGCCCAAGUGCUUGAAUAUUCUGACAGUGAACCUCCACAGGCAUCUCCCCAGUGGUCAAGGUUUAAUAUGGAAACAGUUAGUUAUUUUUACACAGUUCUUUUUGCUUGUGUGUGUGAGCUGUCCCUUGUCGACAAUAGCUUUCUGUUUUCCUCAAUGAGGAGUGUUGCUCAUUUGUGAGCCUUCAUUAACUCAAAAUGAAAUGGUUAAAAAUAUUUAUCCUGUUAGAAUAGGCUGCAUCUUUUACACAACCCAUUAAAAAACAACAACAACGAUAACAAGACUCUGGCUUUUGAGAUGACGUAUACUAAUUCACAUUGUUUACCUAGCUGUAGUGCUAUAUGAACACUACUUAAAAGGCAAAAUAAACUUGGUUUGUAUUUAAAAAAAAAGGUUUCAGAGCUGCAGAGGAACAGCCUUGAAAGAUGCUACUGACAUGGAGACUCCAGGCUCAGCCUCAGCCCAUGAAGAAGAUAACAGAACACAGAAAGCUUCCUGUUCCUGCUAGCGCUGUGGCAGCGCAUACGUGCCCUCCUGAUGCAUGGGGAACUGAGAUAGGAGAGCCUGGAGUUUGAGGCUACAAAGGGAGGCACUGUGCUUUCUCAUUACCAAGCCUAGUAUAGGACAAAUCAGCACAACUCAGAAAUCGGUCUCUCCCGCUCUUGCAGUUGCAAAGGGAAAUGGGAUGUAGCUUUGGACAGUUCUCAAGUUCCAUCUGGGUCUCCCCUCUCCAGCUCUGAGUCCAGUCUCGCCAGUUUGUUGGAUGUGAAUUCUAUGAUCCCAAAUUAAUGUGCAAAAUCUUUUUUCCUAUAAUUCAGCUUUUCAUCAAAGCCACUAAGAACCAGAAGCUAAACAAAAAGCCACAGCUUCUUAAGAACUUUUUACUUUUGUUUUCAAGGGCCCAGGUCACCAUCAAGGAGACUAAAGCUGGGGUAGGAAGAGCAUGAGAAUAUCUCAGAGGUAUUGGGCCUGUACUGGGAAGAUCUUUUCAGAUACCCCUGGAAUGCUCUGAACUCACAGGCAGGGGAUUUAGAGGUGGGACUCUUUAUCCUAGUAGCUAGAUGUGGAAAUGGCACUUCCAAGUCCUAUUUGGGGAUGGCUUGCCCAGGGAGCUUGGCUCAGUGGAGUGUAGAAUGAAUGCCAACAUUAACAAUAAUUCUGGUCCAAGUGCAAAUGUCUGCAUCAAGUCCUCAAAAAAAUCCUUUUAUGGUCCAUUUGUUUGGACACACCCUGGUUCCAAACCUUGUUUUGCCUCAGGACCCACAUUCUUAGAAACAUGCUAGCUUGCUGAAGACAUGGACUGCUUCUGCCUUCUGUCCUGCAACACUGACUAGAUGCUAAGAUUCAUUCUUAGGCACUGUGACAUUUGAGCCUUUGCAAAAUGUAUUAUGUUUAUUCAUGCCCCCCCUCUCUUUGUGUGUGUGUGUGUGUGUGUGUGUGUGUGUGUGCGUGCACUUGUGCACAUGAAUUCCACUGUUCACUGUGUGGCAUCAGUGGAUAACUUUUGGGAGGAGUUCUGUCCUUUGGACCUGAUUCCAGAGAUCACACUCAAGUCACCAAGCUUGGUAGCAAGUUCCUUUACCUGAUGAGCUUGUUGGUCCAGUCUGAGCUUUCACUGAACCCUUAGCCCCUCUUUCCCCAUCAGCCACAGGAAAGCAAUCUCUGCAGUGUUACUUUUGGUCCUACGUGACUUUCUUAGGUCCCAACAACUAAACAUUUUACUUAGAAUUCAACAUAGUAACUAAAUUGCUAAAUUUAAUAGGAAUUACAGAAUGUGGGCUUUUCUGAUUCUGUAUUGCUUUCCAUAUUCUUAAUUAUACAGUAUAGAAGACAGUAAAACAGUCAUCAUUAGGACCUAUUUGGCUUCCUUAAGAUAUAUUUUCAGGAAGAUUUUACAAAGUUUGGAUGUUUAAUUUGCUCCUCAAAUACCAAUUUUCAAACUAGGAAGUGAGUGUUCUAUGAACUUCACAUGAGAACUUACGCAAUAGAUUUUUUUAAAAACGCUUUUCAGUCAUUUGAAAGCUGUUUCUACCUCCUUCUUUGCAGGUCUCCGAAUUCCUGGGAGGCCUUUUGUUUUCCUAAUGAGAAAUCAGACUGUGGUGGAGCAGUGGAUGCACUGACACUGUCUCUCCUCUUGCUGUGCCUUCCAUGCAGAUGCCUGAAGCCUUGGAGGAGCUGAAUGGUUCAGUUUCCUUGUAUCUUCCAGAGGAGAAAAAAACACCAUCCAGAAUCCUUGUGACAAGCACUUGUUUGCGAUUGAGCAAGUGUCAUGUUGCCUGUCAUCUGAAAAGCAGCAGAGAAGCAUCAUCAUUGUGUCCCCACUCUAAAAACAAAAUGCAAGUCUCUGGGCAUGCUGGUGGCAUCCCACACUCCCCCUGACCUGCUGGCUCAUCCUGCUGCAUAGAACAUCAUCUGCACUUGGAACUCCUCGGUCUCCACCAAUGGUUCUUCAAGUCUCAAGUCAUGUACAUUUUCGGAUCGUUGAGCUCCUCUGCAGGAUACUGGUGCUACUAAGGCUGGAGACGGUAAGACAUGUGCACAUCCAGUGUAUCCUCAAAGGCUUCAGUCCUUCAUGAGUUCUAGGUUACCUUCAUGGUUCUCAUUUUUCUUGCUAUUCUCUAUGACCAGAGAUCUACUCAGACUGCCUUUCUAGCAGGUCCUCAAUGAGGUUCAGGCUCAAAACAAAAACCAAGAAUAGUGACUGAUGGUGCUGGAGGAUAGCAAACAUCCAAUAGCCAGCAACAUAGAAACUUCACAGAACUCUGUGGACUGUGUGGAUGACAGUGCACAUCCUUUAAAUCUAAUCUCCAGGUUUCAGUGACUUCUGUUUGCUACAGUGAAUGGUGUGAGCCUUGUCUAGUUUACUACCAGGCACAGAUGGAGUUCUUAGAACUCCUUUUGAAAACAUUUAGACAUGUGUAGAAAUCAGGAAGUAAAGAUUGAGUGUUUUGAAAGACACGAGUCCUGCCAAUGUAACUAUGCAAGCCCAGUGUUAACUUCCUCCAUGACGUUCACCUUUCCUUCAUGUUUACCUUCGCCUUCCUUUGAAGAAUGACCUACAGCAAGUAACUUGCCUUCCAAAGCCUCUGACUUACAGAUCCAUAAAGAAAACUAUGAAUUUUAGAUUUCAAGUACUAAGUAUUAGUCAGAGUUCUUCAAAGAAAUAAAAGAAAUAGAACCAAU
Molecule: non-coding RNA, 6315 nt
Organism: Rattus norvegicus (Norway rat)
Lineage: Eukaryota; Metazoa; Chordata; Mammalia; Rodentia; Muridae
Source: RefSeq, a predicted model, not a curated record